This 508-nucleotide ribosomal RNA is filed under the name uncultured bacterium. RNAcentral describes it as "partial 16S ribosomal RNA". It matches the Rfam family "Bacterial small subunit ribosomal RNA", at positions 30 to 523 of the family's 1533-position model. The record is from RNAcentral.
AUUAAACGCUGGCGGCAGGCCUAACACAUGCAAGUCGAGCGGCAGCGGGAAAGUAGCUUGCUACUUUUGCCGGCGAGCGGCGGACGGGUGAGUAAUGCCUGGGAAAUUGCCCAGUCGAGGGGGAUAACAGUUGGAAACGACUGCUAAUACCGCAUACGCCCUACGGGGGAAAGCAGGGGACCUUCGGGCCUUGCGCGAUUGGAUAUGCCCAGGUGGGAUUAGCUAGUUGGUGAGGUAAUGGCUCACCAAGGCGACGAUACCUAGCUGGUCUGAGAGGAUGAUCAGCCACACUGGAACUGAGACACGGGCCAGACUCCUACGGGAGGCAGCAGUGGGGAAUAUUGCACAAUGGGGGAAACCCUGAUGCAGCCAUGCCGCGUGUGUGAAGAAGGCCUUCGGGUUGUAAAGCACUUUCAGCGAGGAGGAAAGGUUGAUGCCUAAUACGUAUCAACUGUGACGUUACUCGCAGAAGAAGCACCGGCUAACUCCGUGCCAGCAGCCGCCGUAA